GCAACAAAGUAUACAAUGUAUUAUUAAAAUUAUGCACUCAUAAUCAAAUUAAGAAUAAAACACUACUUCCAGUCAAAAAAAGAAUAAAAACUACUUAAUAAUUAAGCAUACCCCAUAUUAUAGAAUGAUUGAAAACGUAAACCACCCACAAUCAAAUGCAACAAAUUCAUUUUAUCGAAAUUAAGGUAAAGACUAAAAACUCAUUACUUGUAAAAAUUCUAUAAAAUAAAAGAAAAAUAUAAUCAUAUCCAAAAACCAAAAGGAAUUGGAAAAAAAAUAUUGGUUGAGAGUAUAUUUUGUAGACUAUAAAUAAUUAAAUAUUGGUUGAGAGGUUUAGUUUAUAUUAAAAAGAAAAAAAAGCCAAAGAUUGUUAUUCUAGAAGGAGAGCUUCAUCCCAAUUCACAUCCAUCUGAUAUGAAAAACCCUAACCCAAAGGCCAAUGAUGAUGGAUUAUCAACAAGAAGCAUUGCAGAUCUACCAGACAAGCAAUUGAGUGAAAUAUUUGUCCGACUUCCGUGUUAUGAAUCUGUAAUCAGAUGCAAAUUUGUAUCGAAACGUUGGUUAUCUCUACUGUCAAACCCUAAAUUCGUGAUCGAAUUCGUCAACCACAAGAGGAAGUGAGGCAGAAUUUCCUUCCAUGGACCUUUUUAUCGUUGAGGCAGGUGAAAUUAAUCAAUGAUGAUGAUAACAGAACAAAUCAAUCAUUUAUCGACACCAAUAAUAAGAAUUUGUGGAUUUCAAUGCUUGUACUGUGGCUGUUAUCAACCCUCUUUUGAUCGAGUUUGGAUUCAACCCGAAUAUUUUUACAAUUUCAUACCAGUUUCGUUUGACCGAGGAGGAGCGAGGUGAAGGUUUUGAUGUGGCUCCGUAUACCUUUGAAAGACUGUCAAUGCUGUUGGUUGUAUUGUAAUGGUUGAAGUUGAUGCCUGAGUUAUAUGUUGAGAAAGUUUUGAUGAUAGAAAUGAAAUUUUAUUUUGG
Molecule: long non-coding RNA, 978 nt
Organism: Chenopodium quinoa (quinoa)
Lineage: Eukaryota; Viridiplantae; Streptophyta; Magnoliopsida; Caryophyllales; Amaranthaceae
Exons: 2
Source: RefSeq, a predicted model, not a curated record